AGAAUCAACGCUGGCGGCGUGCCUAACACAUGCAAGUCGAACGAGAAAGUGGAGCAAUCCAUUAGUAAAGUGGCGCACGGGUGAGUAACACGUGACUAACCUACCCUUGAGUGGGGGAUAACCUAGGGAAACCUGGGCUAAUACCGCAUAAUACCUUCGGGUCAAAGGAGCAAUUCGCUUAAGGAGGGGGUCGCGGCCGAUUAGUUAGUUGGCGGGGUAAUGGCCCACCAAGACGAUGAUCGGUAU
RNAcentral lists this ribosomal RNA (246 nucleotides) under uncultured bacterium. RNAcentral describes it as "partial small subunit ribosomal RNA". It matches the Rfam family "Bacterial small subunit ribosomal RNA", at positions 26 to 286 of the family's 1533-position model. The record is from RNAcentral.